This 895-nucleotide ribosomal RNA is filed under the name Lactobacillus gasseri. RNAcentral's name for it is "bacterial SSU rRNA". It matches the Rfam family "Bacterial small subunit ribosomal RNA", at positions 58 to 913 of the family's 1533-position model. The record is from RNAcentral. Lineage: Bacteria; Bacillati; Bacillota; Bacilli; Lactobacillales; Lactobacillaceae.
CAAGUCGAGCGAGCUUGCCUAGAUGAAUUUGGUGCUUGCACCAAAUGAAACUAGAUACAAGCGAGCGGCGGACGGGUGAGUAACACGUGGGUAACCUGCCCAAGAGACUGGGAUAACACCUGGAAACAGAUGCUAAUACCGGAUAACAACACUAGACGCAUGUCUAGAGUUUAAAAGAUGGUUCUGCUAUCACUCUUGGAUGGACCUGCGGUGCAUUAGCUAGUUGGUAAGGUAACGGCUUACCAAGGCAAUGAUGCAUAGCCGAGUUGAGAGACUGAUCGGCCACAUUGGGACUGAGACACGGCCCAAACUCCUACGGGAGGCAGCAGUAGGGAAUCUUCCACAAUGGACGCAAGUCUGAUGGAGCAACGCCGCGUGAGUGAAGAAGGGUUUCGGCUCGUAAAGCUCUGUUGGUAGUGAAGAAAGAUAGAGGUAGUAACUGGCCUUUAUUUGACGGUAAUUACUUAGAAAGUCACGGCUAACUACGUGCCAGCAGCCGCGGUAAUACGUAGGUGGCAAGCGUUGUCCGGAUUUAUUGGGCGUAAAGCGAGUGCAGGCGGUUCAAUAAGUCUGAUGUGAAAGCCUUCGGCUCAACCGGAGAAUUGCAUCAGAAACUGUUGAACUUGAGUGCAGAAGAGGAGAGUGGAACUCCAUGUGUAGCGGUGGAAUGCGUAGAUAUAUGGAAGAACACCAGUGGCGAAGGCGGCUCUCUGGUCUGCAACUGACGCUGAGGCUCGAAAGCAUGGGUAGCGAACAGGAUUAGAUACCCUGGUAGUCCAUGCCGUAAACGAUGAGUGCUAAGUGUUGGGAGGUUUCCGCCUCUCAGUGCUGCAGCUAACGCAUUAAGCACUCCGCCUGGGGAGUACGACCGCAAGGUUGAAACUCAAGGAAUUGA